GGGAGACCUCCCCCUCAGUGA
Molecule: transfer RNA, 21 nt
Filed under: Petrosaurus mearnsi
Lineage: Eukaryota; Metazoa; Chordata; Lepidosauria; Squamata; Phrynosomatidae
Description: partial tRNA-Lys
Source: RNAcentral